Molecule: ribosomal RNA, 639 nt
Filed under: uncultured bacterium
Lineage: Bacteria
Description: bacterial SSU rRNA
Rfam family: Bacterial small subunit ribosomal RNA
Source: RNAcentral
AUCGGCCCGCGUCUGAUUAGCUAGUUGGUGAGGUAACGGCUCACCAAGGCGACGAUCAGUAGCUGGUCUGAGAGGAUGAUCAGCCACAUUGGGACUGAGACACGGCCCAGACUCCUACGGGAGGCAGCAGUGGGGAAUAUUGCACAAUGGGCGAAAACCUGAUGCAGCAACGCCGCGUGCGGGAUGAUGGCCUUCGGGUUGUAAACCGCUUUCAGCUCCGACGAAGCGCAAGUGACGGUAGGAGCAGAAGAAGGACCGGCCAACUACGUGCCAGCAGCCGCGGUGAUACGUAGGGUCCGAGCGUUGUCCGGAAUUAUUGGGCGUAAAGGGCUUGUAGGCGGUUUGUCGCGUCGGAAGUGAAAACUCAGGGCUUAACCCUGAGCCUGCUUCCGAUACGGGCAAACUAGAGGGAUGCAGGGGAGAACGGAAUUCCUGGUGGAGCGGUGGAAUGCGCAGAUAUCAGGAGGAACACCGGUGGCGAAGGCGGGUCUCUGGGCAGUAACUGACGCUGAGGAGCGAAAGCGUGGGGAGCGAACAGGAUUAGAUACCCUGGUAGUCCACGCCGUAAACGGUGGGUACUAGGUGUGGGUUUCCUUCCUUGGGAUCCGUGCUGUAGCUAACGCAUUAAGUACCCCGCCU